UUCGAUUGUGCCAGCAGCCGCGGUAAGACGGAGGAGGCAAGCGUUAUCCGGAAUUAUUGGGCGUAAAGCGUCCGCAGGUGGCUUCUCAAGUCUGCUGUCAAAGCCCAGGGCUCAACUCUGGAUAGGCAGUGGAAACUGGGUCGCUAGAGUACGGUAGGGGUAGAGGGAAUUCCCGGUGUAGCGGUGAAAUGCGUAGAUAUCGGGAAGAACACCAGUGGCGAAGGCGCUCUACUGGACCGUAACUGACACUCAUGGACGAAAGCUAGAGGAGCGAAAGGGAUUAGAUACCCCUGUAGUCCUAGCCGUAAACGAUGGAAACUAGGUGUUGCCCGUAUCGACCCGGGCAGUGCCGUAGCCAACGCGUUAAGUUUCCCGCCUGGGGAGUACGCACG
This 392-nucleotide ribosomal RNA is filed under the name uncultured bacterium. RNAcentral describes it as "bacterial SSU rRNA". It matches the Rfam family "Bacterial small subunit ribosomal RNA", at positions 492 to 888 of the family's 1533-position model. The record is from RNAcentral.